GACGAACGCUGGCGGCGUGCCUAAUACAUGCAAGUAGAACGCUGAAGGAGGAGCUUGCUCUUCUGGAUGAGUUGCGAACGGGUGAGUAACGCGUAGGUAACCUGCCUGGUAGCGGGGGAUAACUAUUGGAAACGAUAGCUAAUACCGCAUAAGAGUAGAUGUUGCAUGACAUUUGCUUAAAAGGUGCAAUUGCAUCACUACCAGAUGGACCUGCGUUGUAUUAGCUAGUUGGGGGGGUAACGGCUCACCAAGGCGACGAUACAUAGCCGACCUGAGAGGGGGAUCGGCCACACUGGGACGGAGACACGGCCCAGACUCCUACGGGAGGCAGCAGUAGGGAAUCUUCGGCAAUGGACGGAAGUCUGACCGAUCAACGCCGCGUGAGUGAAGAAGGUUUUCGGAUCGUAAAGCUCUGUUGUAAGAGAAGAACGAGUGUGAGAGUGGAAAGUUCACACUGUGACGGUAUCUUACCAGAAAGGGACGGCUAACUACGUG
Molecule: ribosomal RNA, 495 nt
Filed under: uncultured bacterium
Lineage: Bacteria
Description: partial 16S ribosomal RNA
Rfam family: Bacterial small subunit ribosomal RNA
Source: RNAcentral